This 2454-nucleotide long non-coding RNA is filed under the name Homo sapiens (human). RNAcentral's name for it is "HSALNT0087514". Lineage: Eukaryota; Metazoa; Chordata; Mammalia; Primates; Hominidae. The record is from RNAcentral.
UUUAACUAGUUAUUUUUAUAAAAUUCAAAUGCCAUAGAAUGUGCUGUCUGCUUACAUAGACAAAGCUCUUGAUGCAUUUUGAGAUGCCAGUUGUUUGAUGGGUGAAUUGUAAUGAAGCUUCCUUUAAGAUUAUCUGCAGAAGCAGACAAGUGAUCAUUGAAUUUAGUUUGCCAUCCUAUGGCCUAGGCUCCUGUUGUCAUGAAAACCUGAAAUUGAUUGCCAAACACUUGCACAGUAAUUUUGAGAUUCUUAUAAUUUAAAGCUCAAUCAUUUCUUGACUGAAGGAUACUUAUUGAGGAAGCUUCCAUCAUCAACCUCCGUUUAAAAAAUUUCUUACUGUGUGGAUUUUAAUCAGGGCAAUAAAAGGAUCAUCCACAAGCUCCACAUCACUCAGCCAUAUUAAAUUAUGAUGUAAUCUAGUAAAAAAAUCAAUAAGUGAGACCCAGUAAGGAACCUGAGACUGUUCAAGACUAGAAUGCAGGUAGGCACCAUAUGGCCAGAAAUGAAGUGACUACGUAUUAUCUUCAACCAGGGACAUUGGAUUUACUCAGUUUCUUUGGGCUGGGCAAAAAUGACCUUGUAAUGCAUUGAGUUAUAGGCUAGCAGACAUUAGGCACCACACUAUCCCUUCAAGGUACGGUCUUUUUAACAAGUCCUAGGAAGGGCUGUUUGAGUUAAUUCAGAGCCCGCAGAAGGGCUCACAACAACCUCCUUGUUUUGUCCUAACGUGAGCUGAUCCUUCUUGCAUCAGGUGGCUCCUCUGACUGUCCUGCCCUUUGGGUACUGGGCAAUUAAUCCACAAACGCAAAAUCCUGAACCCUGGGCUAAGAAAAUACGAACUGAUUUGGUAAACAAAUGAUAUGUAAAAUCUAUACGCACAGAGUGGCAAGUGACAAAGGAAAUUGCAAAUGCCCCUAAAUGCUCUUUCCCAUCGAUUGGCAGAGAGAAUCUAACACAUACACAGAGGAGAUGGAGCAUAAAAUUGGGCGGACUGACUCAGAGGGGGAACAAGGCUUCUCUAAUCAGCAAAGGGGCUGUCGGCAGGCGAUGUACAAAUGAAAGCGCGCUUUCUAAAUUUCCAAAGCACUAAAGGGAGAGAAAUGCGCAAUUACUGUGGGAUUCGCCCAGAGGAGCAGCCUCAGGAGUUGAAGGGGAUCCUGUCCCUCCCAGAGGAAAGCUCACGAUUGGAUUGGAACUUCUAGCGACUGCCUGAGGCAAACGCACAUAAGGGUCCCCAGAUGCAGCGAAUGAACAGGUUUUCCUCGUAAAAAUGAUGGAGGUGAAGGUGGGGAUGGGGGUGCUCUCCUCACUCCGGAAUCUGAAGCGGGAGAGAGCUGGAUAAACCGCCGAGAUGACCUAAGUGGUCUGAGGCGACCAGCAGCGCGUCCACAGUGGAGGACCCAGGCCUCGGCUCAGACAUGGCCUGCUCCGCUCUUUCCCUAGGCUCCUCUGCAACAUCAGGCAACCAAGGCCUGCGCUCUCCUUUUCCUGAGGAGACUCCCUGGAACCUUCAAGAACCCCCCGACAGCCACCAGGAUACCCGGUCUGAAUGGUUUCCUACCAAGAAAGACCCCGAAGACCUGCAGUUCUGUCCAGAAACGAGUUUUUAGGGUCACUUGAAUUUGAGCUGCUGCGAGGGCGGUGCUUUAGGGAGCAGAGUUCAAAGAGGAAUUCCUCAGGACCCUAGGCCAGGUCCGCGUUAAAGGGCGCCUUACAAACCUCCUCUCCCCACACUCCCCCGCAGCCCCUUCCCCAACGUUUAAGGCACCGGAUCUUGAGAAGCAAAUCUAGUGCCCAGCUUCAAAUCCCCGCCUUGGAAAAGUACAAAGAGAAAACUGAUUUUUCAAAUCCCAAAGCCCUUUCCUUUUAAGCAACUUGGAAAAACUCAGCUAUAAACGCUUUCUCCUCUUAUGCUAAAAUUGAAAACUUAUAGAUUUUAGAUGGAAUGAAGAGAAGAUAUAUUCCUUUUCCCUUUAAAUAGCCACAUUUCAAAUUGUGCCAGGCAGCAAUUUCUGCGAAAAAGGAGUGGCGGUUGGGAUUGUUUGGGAGAUGGAGUUUUAUUUGUUCCCAUUUAUUUUGUUUUAUUUUUGUUUUAUUUUUUUCUUUGAGUUUCUUUGUUAUUUUGAGAUUCAUCUAAGAGACUCAGAAUUCCACUCUGAAUAAAGCACUUUUUGUUGUUUCAAAAUUUCAAACUGACAUAAGUGUUGGAUCAUCAGUUUUCCCUUUGUCUGCCCUAGUUGUAAAUAAUGGCUUUGAGAUUAGCUAAUUAAGGGGCAUUAAUCACUGAUAGAAAGGGAAUAAAUCAAAGCCUUGUUCUAAAUUUCAAACUUGCCUGUAUAGAUGUGCAUAGCUACUCUAUCUGGAGCAGAUAGGUGCUGUUUGAAUUACUGUUCUUCAGAGUAAACCAAAUCCACUUCGCUUUUAAAAAAUGAAUAUUGUAUUUAUACAGCCUGG